This 241-nucleotide long non-coding RNA is filed under the name Elaeis guineensis (African oil palm). Its description in RNAcentral is "long non-coding RNA (EGUI_LNC014474)". Lineage: Eukaryota; Viridiplantae; Streptophyta; Magnoliopsida; Arecales; Arecaceae. The record is from RNAcentral.
CUCACGAACUUCUCUCGUAGCAAGCAUCCAAACUGAUCAUCCUUCACUCAUGAUCAUCUUUAAUUCUUUAGCACCUAUCAGAUGGAGGCUAUUCUUCUUGAUGUUUUUUUUUAGUCCAUCGUCUAUUUUUCUAUUGAUAGCUUUAGGUGGGGAAGAAUUAAUCAUGAUCUUCUUAUCUUGAUGAGUAAAACUACGGGAGUUGGUUCGGUCAUAAAUCGUAAUAUCGUUAUCAAAUAGCCAA